RNAcentral lists this ribosomal RNA (510 nucleotides) under Stenothyra sp. 2 ssp. 3 REG-2013. RNAcentral's name for it is "partial 16S ribosomal RNA". It matches the Rfam family "Bacterial large subunit ribosomal RNA", at positions 1813 to 2599 of the family's 2925-position model. The record is from RNAcentral. Lineage: Eukaryota; Metazoa; Mollusca; Gastropoda; Littorinimorpha; Stenothyridae.
ACAUCGCUCUUUGAACAUUUUAAUAUAAAGAGUCGAGCCUGCCCAGUGAUGAAAUUUUAACGGCCGCGGUACCCUGACCGUGCAAAGGUAGCAUAAUCAUUUGCCCUAUAAUUGAGGGCUAGUAUGAAUGGUUUGACAAGAGCAAUACUGUCUCCUUUAGAUUUUAUAGAAUUUGGUUUUCAGGUGAAGAGACCUGAAUAUAAUUGAAAGACAAGAAGACCCUAUCGAGCUUUAAGUUAUUUUAUUAAUUAAAUGAGUUAAAUAUCAGUUUUAAUAAAAAAUUUUGGUUGGGGCGACUGAGGAACAAAUAAAGCUUCCUUUUUUAAAAUAACUUAUUAGUUUUGAUCCAAAAUAUUUGAUUAAAAGAAUUAGUUACCGUAGGGAUAACAGCAUAAUCUUUUUUGAGAGCUCUUAUCGAAAAAAAGGUUUGUGACCUCGAUGUUGGACUAGGAUAUCCUAAUAGAUGCAGACGUCUUUGAUGGUUGGUCUGUUCGACCAUUAAAAUCCUAC